This 253-nucleotide ribosomal RNA is filed under the name uncultured Legionella sp. RNAcentral's name for it is "partial 16S ribosomal RNA". It matches the Rfam family "Bacterial small subunit ribosomal RNA", at positions 524 to 776 of the family's 1533-position model. Lineage: Bacteria; Pseudomonadati; Pseudomonadota; Gammaproteobacteria; Legionellales; Legionellaceae. The record is from RNAcentral.
UACGGAGGGUGCAAGCGUUAAUCGGAAUUACUGGGCGUAAAGGGUGCGUAGGUGGAAAUUUAAGUUAGCUGUGAAAGACCUGGGAUUAACCUGGGGGUGUCAGCUAAGACUGGAUAUCUAGAGUAUAGGAGAGGGUAGUGGAAUUUCCGGUGUAGCGGUGAAAUGCGUAGAGAUCGGAAGGAACACCAGUGGCGAAGGCGGCUACCUGGCCUGAUACUGACACUGAGGCACGAAAGCGUGGGGAGCAAACAGG